Molecule: long non-coding RNA, 2207 nt
Organism: Glycine soja
Lineage: Eukaryota; Viridiplantae; Streptophyta; Magnoliopsida; Fabales; Fabaceae
Exons: 2
Source: RefSeq, a predicted model, not a curated record
AUGGGGUUGGCGGGGUACGGUGAUGAUAACAAUCAUAAUCUUGCUUGCUUAAGUGGGGAAAGCCAAAGGGCAUUUCCUGUGAGUGUAGCAUUAAACUACUAUAUCUCUAUCACUCUCCCACCCUCUCUCCCACACAAACCACAACCAAAAGGCUGCUCCAUUUUCAUUUGGGUUGGGUUAAGCUAAGGCCUCUCAUCCUCAUUCUUCUUUCUUGUUGGAUGAAUGGAUAGGAUAAGAUAGUUAACUAGGUGCAACUUUGCUUUGCCCCUUACCUCAUUGCACUCUCUCUUCGUUUUUUCCCACCCCAAAAUUUAUUCAGAUAUUACAUCUCACACACCUUCAUGCACAUAGAUCAGUCACACCGAUCUGGCUAAGUAGCUACUUGUCAUCUAUACGUUUUGCAUGACUCUCUCUGACUCAAUGUACAGAAAGUCAGAGAUGAAGAGAGAGAGUUUUGUGUUUCCCAACAUGGUUUGGUUGGAGUUUAUGGUUCUUGUCUUUUUUGGUUCUAUUUAAUUUAUCCUCAAAAUCUUUUCCUCUUCUUUGUUGAUCUACCUUCCUCAUCUGUUGAUGCAUCUUCCAUGGUGUUUGUUUUGCUUGUUUCUCUCUCUCUGUAUCUCAGGUUAUUGGUUAUAAACCCUAAAAUUCUCAGAAAAAUUUGUUCCUUUAAGAACAUGCAUGUUAGAUCCUAGAUUUGCCAUUUUUUUUUAUCACCACCAUAUUUCAUGAUGUUUUCCAUUAAAGGAUAUUACAUUUUCUCCCUCAGAUCUGACCUAGUUAUCAGUUCUUUUCCUUUGGAUUUUUUGUAAGACAUUUUGUUUGUGAUUCUUUGAACUUUCCAUACAUUGGAAGCUAUUGUAUGUGUACUUGGUAUUUUUGAUUCCUUACAUUUGGACAGAAAUUGACAGAAGAGAGUGAGCACAAAGAGGCACUUGAUAUAAUUCUAUAUCACUGCUUUUGUGUGCUCACCACUCUUUCUGUCGGUUUUCAUGUGCCAGAAAAUUCUCCAAGUCUACUAAGUUGCUGCAUGAACCAAAACCAAACCACAUCAUCUUCUCUCUCUCUCUCUCUCUCAUUUUGAUGGAGGUAAUGAGAAACGUCUCUUACUGAAACAGGUUACAUGAUUAUAUAUUUCAUUAUUAUUCAAUAGUGAAAAAAAGGUAUAUAUGGCUUUAAUUGGUUCUUUGCAUAUAAGUAUGCUUUUAUUUUGUUUUAACUUUUAACUACUACUAUUAUUAGUUGAACACACGCACAAACAUGUUCAUAGAUUGGCUUUGUUAUAUUUUUUAGUAUAUACUAGUCAUUGCAAAAUGGAUAAGUCUGACUUUUGAUAGCAUUAAACCUUGCACAAGGUGCCCUGAUAAAGGUGCAGAUCUUUAGGGGCAACUUGUUUUUAUCUAUACAUGUGUAUUUGUAUGCUAGCGAGUGGCAGGGACCAUUCACGUUAUAUAGUAUGGUCCACACACAGGUCGUGUUGCUCACUUUCUAGCGUCUAGCACUCUAGCUAGCUAGCUAUAUUAUCGCUUUCCUGUGUUAAUAGCAUUUCAUAUUUUUUUUCUGAGUAUAUAGAGCAUGCGGGCCAUGAGGUGUGGUUUUUUGCUGUGAUGUUCUCACCUGAAACAGCAUGCAUGUUUGUUAUAUUGGGGAGUUUUAUUUAGGCUACUGCAGAAGGCCUAAAACCUCCUUUCUUAUUUCGGUUUUAAAGGCACAAGAGGAAAAAAGAGGGAGUAACACCAAUAUUAAAAUGGAUGAGGCUACUCGAGAAAAGACAACAUACAAAAGGAUUACAUGUGAGGAGAAAUCGGUAACACCAAAUGAGGAAAUGAGGAAAAGAUUACAAAAAAUCAACUAAAGUGAUUUGGAUACAAAUAAAGAAGGCAUCGAGAGGCACUGAUAUUGAGAAUAGUAAAUUGCAUGAUAUUAGUUUUGGGUAGAGGUGAAGGAGAUCAAGAGGCACAUUAGAGAAAGUUCUUAAGGGGAGUUCAGGUAAAUAACAUCCCUGAAUUAAACUUCAGUAUUUAACUUAGUUGAAUGUUUUUGUGUAAUCUAUAUAUGUAACCAAUCUUACUUAGUGAUAUAAGACUCUUUGCUAUAUUCUUAGGGAAAGGUUUAGGUGUUGAACAUUGUUUUAAGGACAAGACUUAUUGCAUUUCUAUUGGUAUUUUGGGUGCUAUUUUAAAAUUAAUAUUCGAGUUUUAUUUCAAUAA